Molecule: long non-coding RNA, 1006 nt
Filed under: Marmota monax (woodchuck)
Lineage: Eukaryota; Metazoa; Chordata; Mammalia; Rodentia; Sciuridae
Source: RNAcentral
CUCAAGGGCACCUGACCACUGAAUCACAUCACCGGCCCUAUUUUGUAUUCUAUUUAGAGUCAGGGUCUCACUGAGUUGCUUAGCAGUCUUGCUUUUACUGAGGCUGACUUUUAAACUUGAAAUCCUCCUUUCUCAGCCUCCCAAGCUGCUGGAAUUACAGGUGUGCACACCACGCCUGGCCACUUUAUUCAUUUUUUAAAAAUGAAUAUCUGCCAGAUACCAAAGUCAGAACACCCAUGAUUUGUUUAAAAGAGGUUACGAGUUCAGUUCUCAACUCAGUUAUAAAAGAGAUUUUUCUUGGGAUAAAUAAUUUAAUUUCAAUGCUUGCUUCCCAUUCUUGCACACAGAAUAUUUAAAAUACAUGUGGUGGUCAACAUUAAUAAAAAUAAUAAUUGUUAAUCCUUCAUUAAGGACAAUCUCAAAAGAGUCAUAUUUCUUUCCUGCUAAUUUUAUCGAUGAAGAACACAGUGACAACCACUACAGUUGUGUGGCCCUUCCUUGAUUGGUGCUAAGCCACCACUACAUUUGUAUCAUUUCAGUAAGGUACGUAAGUUCAUCAAUUCCAAAUACAAAACACAUUGCUACCACUACAUUUGCAUCAUUUGUGCAGAUGUCAACACCAUGGAAAAGACAUUAUAUUGUUAGGAUUAUUAUGAAAAUGGUUGUGGCCUCUCAGACCACCUGAAAGGGUUUUGGGACCUCCCAGUUAGAUACUGAAAAUCAGAGUCUUAGAGGAAUGAUUAGCCUCUCUCAGAGUAACCUAGAUAAGAAAGUGUUCUAUUGGAAGAAACAAAGAUGAAUUGUCGCCAGGUGCAGUGGCACAUUCCUGUAAUCCCAGGGGCUGGGGAGGCUGAGGCAGGAGAAUUGCAAAUUCAAAGCCAGCCUCAGCUAUAUAGCAAGAUUCUAAGCAACUUAAUGAGACCCUGUCUCAAAAUAGAAAAUAAAAAGGGCUGGGGAUGUGGCUUAGUGGUUAAGUAUCCUUGGAUUCAAUGUUACAAAAAAAAAA